AUUGAACGCUGGCGGCAGGCCUAACACAUGCAAGUCGAGCGGAUGAAGGGAGCUUGCUCCUGGAUUCAGCGGCGGACGGGUGAGUAAUGCCUAGGAAGCUGCCUGGUAGUGGGGGAUAACGUCCGGAAACGGGCGCUAAUACCGCAUACGUCCUGAGGGAGAAAGUGGGGGAUCUUCGGACCUCACGCUAUCUGAUGAGCCUAGGUCGGAUUAGCUAGUUGGUGGGGUAAAGGCCUACCAAGGCGACGAUCCGUAACUGGUCUGAGAGGAUGAUCAGUCACACUGGAACUGAGACACGGUCCAGACUCCUACGGGAGGCAGCAGUGGGGAAUAUUGGACAAAGGGCGAAAGCCUGAUCCAGCCAUGCCGCGUGUGUGAAGAAGGUCUUCGGAUUGUAAAGCACUUUAAGUUGGGAGGAAGGGCAGUAAGUUAAUACCUUGCUGUUUUGACGUUACCAACAGAAUAAGCAACGGCUAACUUCGUG
Molecule: ribosomal RNA, 484 nt
Filed under: uncultured bacterium
Lineage: Bacteria
Description: partial 16S ribosomal RNA
Rfam family: Bacterial small subunit ribosomal RNA
Source: RNAcentral